Molecule: ribosomal RNA, 1274 nt
Filed under: Evania appendigaster
Lineage: Eukaryota; Metazoa; Arthropoda; Insecta; Hymenoptera; Evaniidae
Description: 16S ribosomal RNA
Source: RNAcentral
UUAAGUUUACGGGAGAUUGGACUUGAGUGUGGAAUAAAUAAAGUAUUAGUAUUUUUUUUUGGUUUAAGUUUUAAAUAAUUAUUAGUAAGAACUGAGAAGGGAGUAAAUAUAAAAUUUUUAAGUAAAUAAAUAUGUUUUACCUUUUGUAUCAGGGGUGAUUAAAAUAGUUGGAUUAAAUAUUCUAAUCCCGAAUCUUAUAUGAAAUAAUUUUUUAUUUAAAUUACUGUAACAAUAGUAAUAAAAAUAUGGAGUUAUAGGUGAAAUGCUUAAAAAUUGGGGGAUAUCUGGUUUUCUUUAAUUAAAUUGAAUUUUUUAAUAUAUUUUAAUUUAUUAAUUUUUGAUAUGAUAUUAUAAAUAUAUUAAGUAAAUAUCUGGGGAUAAACUUAAAUAGAAAUUAAAAUAAAUUGAUAAAGUGAGUUAUUAAAUUAAAUUUAAAAUUGAUCAUAUUUUAAAGUUUUUUAUAAAUUAUUAAAUUUAAAUAUUAAAUUUGAAAGAGGUUUAAUUUAUUAAGGGAAUUUUUUUUAAAAUAUUAAAAAAAUAAUAAUAAUGAUUAUAUUAGUAAAAUUAUGUUUAUAUAAUUGAUUAAUAGGGAAAUUUUAUUUAAAAACUUGGCAAAUACUUAAUAUCCACCUGUUUAAUAAAAACAUGGUUUUUAAAAUUUAUUAAAGAUCAGGUCUGACUCAAUGACUUUUAAGUUAAAUAGCUGCGGUAUUUUGACUGUACAAAGGUAGCAUAAUCAUUAGCUUAUUAAUUGUAAGCUGGAAUGAAAGAUUUAAUGUGAUAUAAUCUUUUUUAAUAAGAUAAAUUGAACUUAAUUUUUAAGUGAAAAAGCUUAAAUAAUAAUAAGGGACGAGAAGACCCUGUAGAUUUUUAUAUUUGGGUUAAUAGAAUAGGUUUAUUUUUAAGCGGGCUAUUAUUUUAAAUAUUUAAAUGGGGAAUUUAUAAAAUUAAAUAAUUUUUAUAAAUAUUAAUAUAUAUGAAUAAUUUAAUAUGAUUUGAUUUAUAUAUUGUAAGUAGAUAAAAAUACCUCAGGGAUAACAGCAUAAUAAUUUUUGGGAGAUCGUAUUUCAAUGAUUGUUUGUGACCUCGAUGUUGAAUUACAAUUAAAUUUAGAUGCAGAAGUUUAGUAUUUUAGUCUGUUCGACUAUUAAAAUUGUACAUGAUUUGAGUUAAGAUCGGUGUAAACUAGAUUGGAUUCUAUCUUUAUUUAUUUAAAAGUUUUUUGUACGAAAGGACUUUAACUUUAGAAUAAUUUUUAUAUUAUGAAUUAAAUU